UUCAGAAUGGACUGGUUGGAUCUCCUUGCAGUCCAAGGGACUCUCAAGAGUCUUCUCCAACACCACAGUUCAAAAGCAUCAAUUCUUUGGCACUCAGCCUUCUUCACAGUCCAACUCUCACAUCCAUACAUGACCACUGGAAAAACCAUAGCCUUGACUAGACGAAACUUUGUUGGCAAAGUAAUGUCUCUGCUUUUGAAUAUGCUAUCUAGGUUGGUCAUAACUUUUCUUCCAAGGAGUAAGCGUCUUUGAAUUUCAUGGCUGCAGUCACCAUCUGCAGUGAUUUUGGAGCCCAAAAAAAUAAAGUCUGACACUGUUUACACUGAAAUCAAAUUGAUUAUAUUCUUUGCAGCCAAAGAUGUAGAAGCUCUAUACAGUCAACAAAAACAAGACCAGGAGCUGACUGUGGCUCAGACCAUGAACUCCUUAUUGCCAAAUUCAGACUUAAAUUGAAAAAAGUAGGGAAAACCACUAGACCAUUCAGGUAUGACCUAAAUCAAAUCCCUUAUGAUUAUAAAGUGGAAGUGAGAAAUAGAUUUAAGGGACUAGAUCUGAUAGAUAGAGUGCCUGAUGAACUAUGGACGGAGGUUUGUGACAUUGUACAGGAGACAGGGAUCAAGACCGUCCCCAUGGAAAAGAAAUGCAAAAAAGCAAAACGGCUGUCUGAGGAGGCCUUACAAAUAGCUAUGAAAAGAAGAGAAGCAAAAAGCAAAGGAGAAAAGGAAGGAUAUAAGCAUCGAAUGCAGAGUUCCAAAGAAUAGCAAGGAGAGAUAAGGAAGCCUUCUUCAGCGAUCAAUGCAAAGAAAUCGAGGAAAACAACAGAAUGGGAAAGACUAGAGAUCUCUUCAAGAAAAUUAGAGAUACCAAGGGAACAUUUCAUGCAAAGAUGGGCUCGAUAAAGGACAGAAAUAGUAUGGACCUAACAGAAGCAGAAGAUAUUAAGAAGAAGUGGCAAGAAUACACAGAAGAACGGUACAAAAAAGAUCUUCAUGACCAAGAUAAUCACGAUGGUGUGAUCACUGACCUAGAGCCAGACAUCCUGGAAUGUGAAGUCAAGUGGGCCUUAGGAAACAUCACUACAAACAAAGCUAGUAGAGGUGAUGGAAUUCCAGUUGAGCUAUUUCAAAUCCUGAAAGAUGAUGCUGUGAAAGUGCUGCACUCAAUAUGCCAGCAAAUUUGGAAAACUCAGCAAGUGGCCACAGGACUGGAAAAGGUCAGUUUUCAUUCCAAUCCCAAAGAAAGGCAAUGCCAAAGAAUGCUCAAACUACUGCACAAUUGUACUCAUCUCACAUGCUAGUAAAGUAAUGCUCAAAAUUCUCCAAGCCAGGCUUCAGCAAUACGUGAACUGUGAACUUCCAGAUGUUCAAGCUGGUUUUAGAAAAGGCAGAGGAACCAGA
Molecule: long non-coding RNA, 1397 nt
Organism: Bos taurus (domestic cattle)
Lineage: Eukaryota; Metazoa; Chordata; Mammalia; Artiodactyla; Bovidae
Source: Ensembl